GAUGAACGCUGGCGGCGUGCCUAAUACAUGCAAGUCGAGCGAACAGAUGAGGAGCUUGCUCCUCUGACGUUAGCGGCGGACGGGUGAGUAACACGUGGAUAACCUACCUAUAAGACUGGGAUAACUUCGGGAAACCGGAGCUAAUACCGGAUAAUAUAUUGAACCGCAUAGUUCAAUAGUGAAAGACGGUUUUGCUGUCACUUAUAGAUGGAUCCGCGCCGCAUUAGCUAGUUGGUAAGGUAACGGCUUACCAAGGCAACGAUGCGUAGCCGACCUGAGAGGGUGAUCGGCCACACUGGAACUGAGACACGGUCCAGACUCCUACGGGAGGCAGCAGUAGGGAAUCUUCCGCAAUGGGCGAAAGCCUGACGGAGCAACGCCGCGUGAGUGAUGAAGGUCUUCGGAUCGUAAAACUCUGUUAUUAGUGAAGAACAAAUGUGUAAGUAACUAUGCACGUCUUGACGGUACCUAAUCAGAAAGCCACGGCUAACUACGUG
RNAcentral lists this ribosomal RNA (497 nucleotides) under uncultured bacterium. RNAcentral describes it as "partial 16S ribosomal RNA". It matches the Rfam family "Bacterial small subunit ribosomal RNA", at positions 28 to 507 of the family's 1533-position model. The record is from RNAcentral.